This 272-nucleotide ribosomal RNA is filed under the name uncultured bacterium. Its description in RNAcentral is "partial 16S rRNA". It matches the Rfam family "Bacterial small subunit ribosomal RNA", at positions 505 to 776 of the family's 1533-position model. The record is from RNAcentral.
GUGCCAGCAGCCGCGGUAAUACGUAGGUGGCAAGCGUUGUCCGGAUUUACUGGGCGUAAAGCGUGUGUAGGCGGAUAUUUAAGUGAGAUGUGAAAUCCCCGGGCUUAACUUGGGGGCUGCAUUUCAAACUGGAUGUCUAGAGUGCAGGAGAGGAAAGCAGAAUUCCUAGUGUAGCGGUGAAAUGCGUAGAGAUGUGGAAGAAAACCAGUGGCGAAGGCGUCUUUCUGGACUGUAACUGACGCUGAGGCGUGAAAGCGGGGGGGGCAAACAGG